Molecule: ribosomal RNA, 253 nt
Filed under: uncultured bacterium
Lineage: Bacteria
Description: partial 16S ribosomal RNA
Rfam family: Bacterial small subunit ribosomal RNA
Source: RNAcentral
UACGGAGGGAGCUAGCGUUGUUCGGAAUUACUGGGCGUAAAGGGCGCGUAGGUGGCCUUCUAAGUUGAACGUGAAAUCCCUGGGCUCAACCCAGGAACUGCGUCCAAGACUGGGAGGCUUGAAUCCGGGAGAGGGAUGCGGAAUUCCAGGUGUAGCGGUGAAAUGCGUAGAUAUCUGGAGGAACACCGGUGGCGAAGGCGACUACCUGGCCUGUUCUUGACGCUGAGGCGCGAAAGCUAGGGUAGCAAACGGG